This 388-nucleotide ribosomal RNA is filed under the name uncultured bacterium. Its description in RNAcentral is "bacterial SSU rRNA". It matches the Rfam family "Bacterial small subunit ribosomal RNA", at positions 28 to 417 of the family's 1533-position model. The record is from RNAcentral.
GACGAACGCUGGCGGCGUGCUUAACACAUGCAAGUCGAGCGGUAAGGCCCUUUCGGGGGUACACGAGCGGCGAACGGGUGAGUAACACGUGGGUGACCUGCCCUCAGCUCUGGGAUAAGCCUGGGAAACCGGGUCUAAUACCGGAUAUGACUCCAUGACGCAUGUUGUGGGGUGGAAAGCCUUGUGCGGCUGAGGAUGGGCCCGCGGCCUAUCAGCUUGUUGGUGGGGUGAUGGCCUACCAAGGCGACGACGGUAGCCGGCCUGAGAGGGCGACCGGCCACACUGGGACUGAGACACGGCCCAGACUCCUACGGGAGGCAGCACGUGGGGAAUCUUGCGCAAUGGGCGAAAGCCUGACGCAGCGACGCCGCGUGAGGGAUGACGGCCU